GGGCCGGUAGAUCAGCUGGAAGAUCGCCACACUUGCAAUGUGGAGGCCCGGGGUUCAAAUCCCCGCCGGUCCA
This 73-nucleotide transfer RNA is filed under the name Thermoplasmata archaeon. RNAcentral's name for it is "tRNA-Ala". It matches the Rfam family "tRNA". Rfam says of the family: Transfer RNA (tRNA) molecules are approximately 80 nucleotides in length. Their secondary structure includes four short double-helical elements and three loops (D, anti-codon, and T loops). Lineage: Archaea; Methanobacteriati; Thermoplasmatota; Thermoplasmata. The record is from RNAcentral.